RNAcentral lists this small nuclear RNA (193 nucleotides) under Gigantopelta aegis. RNAcentral's name for it is "U2 spliceosomal RNA". It matches the Rfam family "U2 spliceosomal RNA". From Rfam's summary of the family: U2 is a small nuclear RNA (snRNA) component of the spliceosome (involved in pre-mRNA splicing). The record is from RNAcentral. Lineage: Eukaryota; Metazoa; Mollusca; Gastropoda; Neomphalida; Peltospiridae.
AUCGCUUCUCGGCCUUUUGGCUAAGAUCAAAGUGUAGUAUCUGUUCUUAUCAGCUUAAUAUCUGAUACGUCCUCCAUUGGGGGACAUCGAUAUUAAACUGAUUUUUGGAUCUAGGCGAAGUGUCAGGGGCUUGCUCCGCCUUUGCCACGGGUUGACCCGGUAUUGCAGUACCUCCGGGACUGGCCCACUCCCA